UACGGAAGGCAGCAGUGGGGAAUAUUGCACAAUGGGCGAAAGCCUGAUGCAGCUAUGCCGCGUGUAUGAAGAAGGCCUUAGGGUUGUAAAGUACUUUCAUCGGGGAGGAAAAAACAAAACUAAUAAUUUUAUUUCUUGACGUUACCCGAAAAAGAAGCACCGGCUAACUCCGUGCCAGCAGCCGCGGUAAUACGGAGGGUGCUAGCGUUAAUCAGAAUUACUGGGCGUAAAGAGCACGUAGGUGGUUUUUUUAAGUCAGAUGUGAAAUCCCCUGGGCUUAACCUAGGAACUGCAUUUUGAAACUGAAAUACUAGAGUAUCGUAGAGGGAGGUAGAAUUCUAGGUGUAGCGGUGAAAUGCGUAGAUAUCUGGAGGAAUACCUGUGGCGAAAGCGGCCUCCUAAACGAAUACUGACACUGAGGUGCGAAAGCGUGGGGAGCAAACGAGGAUUAGAUACC
Molecule: ribosomal RNA, 457 nt
Filed under: uncultured bacterium
Lineage: Bacteria
Description: bacterial SSU rRNA
Rfam family: Bacterial small subunit ribosomal RNA
Source: RNAcentral